GCAUGGCCUGUUCCUGCUUUCUGUUUUCCCCAGGUGGCUUUGUGCUUCCCAAGGAGUGCGUGGACCUUUCUGAUGGGAGUGAGCAGCAAGGAACCGACUGAAUCAUAGAAUCACAAGGUUGGAAACAGCCUAUCACAUCCCAGGUGCUGUCUGUCUGUCUGUGGUAGGUUCCAGAGCAAGGAGGCCUCUCCGUGCCAUCGCUGCACAUUGAUUUCAGCCUGUGGCACCCACACUGGGACACAUGGAUGCUCCAGGAAACAGCUGUGAACCCUGGGGCUGGAAUAAAGAUGCCAAAAACAGUGUAGA
This is a long non-coding RNA of Lagopus leucura (white-tailed ptarmigan), 306 nucleotides long. RefSeq lists it as uncharacterized. The transcript has 2 exons. NCBI's taxonomy places the organism in Eukaryota, Metazoa, Chordata, Aves, Galliformes, Phasianidae. The record is from RefSeq and is a predicted model, not a curated record.